UGGGGAAUAUUGCACAAUGGGCGAAAGCCUGAUGCAGCGACGCCGCGUGAGGGAAGAAGGUUUUCGGAUUGUAAACCUCUGUCUUCGGGGACGAAAAAAAUGACGGUACCCGAGGAGGAAGCCACGGCUAACUACGUGCCAGCAGCCGCGGUAAAACGUAGGUGGCAAGCGUUGUCCGGAAUUACUGGGUGUAAAGGGAGCGCAGGCGGGAUGGUAAGUUGAAUGUGAAAACUAUGGGCUCAACCCAUAGAUUGCGAUCAAAACUACUGUUCUUGAGUGAUGGAGAGGCAGGCGGAAUUCCCGGUGUAGCGGUGGAAUGCGUAGAUAUCGGGAGGAACACCAGUGGCGAAGGCGGCCUGCUGGACAUUAACUGACGCUGAGGCUCGAAAGUAUGGGGAGC
This 400-nucleotide ribosomal RNA is filed under the name uncultured bacterium. Its description in RNAcentral is "bacterial SSU rRNA". It matches the Rfam family "Bacterial small subunit ribosomal RNA", at positions 355 to 769 of the family's 1533-position model. The record is from RNAcentral.